Molecule: ribosomal RNA, 418 nt
Filed under: uncultured bacterium
Lineage: Bacteria
Description: bacterial SSU rRNA
Rfam family: Bacterial small subunit ribosomal RNA
Source: RNAcentral
UGGGGAAUAUUGGGCAAUGGGCGAAAGCCUGACCCAGCAACGCCGCGUGAGGGAAGAAGGUCUUCGGAUUGUAAACCUUUGUCCUAUGGGACGAAACAAAUGACGGUACCAUAGGAGGAAGCUCCGGCUAACUACGUGCCAGCAGCCGCGGUAAUACGUAGGGAGCAAGCGUUGUCCGGAAUUACUGGGCGUAAAGGGUGCGUAGGUGGCCAUGUAAGUUAGGUGUGAAAGACCGGGGCUUAACCCCGGGGCGGCACUUAAAACUGUGUGGCUUGAGUACAGGAGAGGGAAGUGGAAUUCCUAGUGUAGCGGUGAAAUGCGUAGAUAUUAGGAGGAACACCAGUGGCGAAGGCGACUUUCUGGACUGUAACUGACACUGAGGCACGAAAGCGUGGGGAGCAAACAGGAUUAGAUACCC